GGGGACGUAACAAAGCGACCCAGGAAUACUUGGGCGUGCCUCCACCCACGCCGGCGUCGGCGGGCGUAUUUCGCCUCACAGUAGGUCGCCGCGACCCGUUGCUUUUGGGGACGUCGAAGGCCCGGACGGAUUGGUACCCUACCGGCUGGGGAUGCGGCUUCGGCUUCUCCUCUUGUCCGGUGGGCGAAACCGCCGGUGUCCUGGCUGCCCUGCGACGGUCGUAGAGACGAGCCCCUCCCAUUCGUGGGGGGCGGCUCUCGCGGCGUGCAAAAGGUCGGUGAUCCACCCGACCCGUCUUGAAACACGGACCAAGGAGUCUAACAUGUGUGCGAGUCAGUGGGCGCACUAAACCCAGAGGCGUAAUGAAAGUGACACGGGUUCGGCUGUCGCCUCGUGUGGCAGCCGGACUCAGGGCCGAUCCCUCACCGGUUGCCCUCGCCUCUCUCCCACGUCUCGGUAAGCCGGGUGAGCUAUUUUCCCCGGCCGCUGCUGCGGGGCGCGGGGGGUGGCGGGGUGCGAUGGUGUCCGUAAAAAAGAGCCUGCUGUUGCAGGGGGGCGCAGGCCCGGGACUUGCCAGGACGCCGCGAGACUGUCACUUUGCUGUGAGGCUCCAGGGCCGAUCAGCGGGUCAUGCGUGCAGUCGGCAAGUACCAUGAGCAGACAUGUUGGGACCCGAAAGAUGGUGAACUAUGCCUGGCCAGGAUGAAGCCAGAGGAAACUCUGGUGGAGGUCCGUAGCGAUUCUGACGUGCAAAUCGAUCGUCGGAGCUGGGUAUAGGGGCG
RNAcentral lists this ribosomal RNA (782 nucleotides) under Procambarus litosternum. RNAcentral's name for it is "eukaryotic LSU rRNA". The stretch from base 308 to 782 matches the Rfam family "Eukaryotic large subunit ribosomal RNA", at positions 665 to 925 of the family's 3401-position model. The record is from RNAcentral. Lineage: Eukaryota; Metazoa; Arthropoda; Malacostraca; Decapoda; Cambaridae.